This 492-nucleotide ribosomal RNA is filed under the name uncultured bacterium. Its description in RNAcentral is "partial 16S ribosomal RNA". It matches the Rfam family "Bacterial small subunit ribosomal RNA", at positions 29 to 507 of the family's 1533-position model. The record is from RNAcentral.
AGUGAACGCUGGCGGUAGGCCUAACACAUGCAAGUCGAACGGCAGCACAGUAAGAGCUUGCUCUUACGGGUGGCGAGUGGCGGACGGGUGAGGAAUACAUCGGAAUCUACUUUUUCGUGGGGGAUAACGAAGGGAAACUUACGCUAAUACCGCAUACGACCUACGGUUGAAAGCAGGGGAUCUUCUUACCUUGCGCGAUUGAAUCAGCCGAUGUCGGAUUGGCUAGUUGGCGGGGUAAAGGCCCACCAAGGCGACGAUCGGUAGCUUGUCUGGGAGGCUGAUAAGCCACAUUGGAGGGGGGACAGCGUCAAUACUCCUACGGGAGGCAGCAGAGUGGAAUAUUGGACAACAGGGGCAAGCCUGAUCCAGCCAUAGCGCGUGGGUGAAAAAGACGUUGCGGUUGUAAAGCCCGUUUGUUGGGAGAAAAAAGCAGCAGGUUAAUACCCCGCUGUUCUGACGGUACCCGAAGAAUAAGCACCGGCUAACUUCGUG